GGUGCAAGUCACGUGGGCUUGUUAGGCUUUGCUCACAGCCAUAAUGUCGGAAAAGAUUACAUUUCAUAGUGAAGUCCAAAAGAAGAAGAAGAAGAAGAAGAAGUUUUUUUUUUUUAAAUUAAUAUUAAGACCUGAUCAAGGACUUUGCUGCAAAGAAGACUUCACGACAGAAUUUCUAACAGGUGCAGACCGCGUCAUACUCCCAGAGAAGUACGCAACUUUGACAACCUACGCUCUCUGAACGUGGCCUCUGCAGAUUAGCUCUCGUUCUCGGACUUUGGAACUGCCAAUCUGCCGUCGACAAGGCAGAUUUCAUUCCUGCCUUUGCAACCCACUCCAACCUCAGUGUGUUGUCUCUGACUGAGACCUGGAUCCAUACUGAACACUGCCACUUCAACUUCUCCCAUACCUCAUGUCCCAACAGGCGAGGGAGUGAUACAGGUCAACUGUGGAAGUUCAUCGAUGAAUUUGACAUGCUACUGUCCACCAUACCGGAUGAUGGAACUCCUCCUGUGGUCCUUGGUGACUUCGACAUUCAUCUAGACAAGCCACAUGAUUUUCUUGCUCACCUUCUCACAUUUGACCUCAAGCAGUUCAUCACACCAGCAACCCACAAAACCGGCAAACAGCUCGACCUCAUCCUCACACAACAACCUCCUGGACACCAAGCAGUCUGGCUUCGAGAGCAAUCGCUCCACGGAGACCGCUCUGCUUUCGGUCACCGAAGCCUUACGACUAGCAAGAGCAACCUCUAGAUCCUACUCGACCUCUCUGCUGCUUUCGACACUGUGAACCGUCCGAUUCUCCUGUCGAUUCUGUCAAGCCCGGGCAUCGCUGGAACGGUUCUGCGCCGGGUGGAAUCCUAUCUCUCGGACAGAUCCUUCAAGGUAUCGUGGAGGGGAGGUAUUUCUGAAACUUGGCAACUCUCAAAGGCGUUCCACAGGGGUCAGUUCUGGGUCCACUGCUCUUUUCUAUCUACACUACAUCUCUAGGGCAGGUGAUUGAGUCUCAUGGCUUUGCAUAUCAUCGAUUAUGCUGACGACACCCAGCUCUAUUUGUCCUUCCAUCUCGGUCUGGAUGAGGGAACAACCUGGCAAAAUCUGAGAUUCUCGUCACCCCAGCCUCUCCCUCAAUCAACCACAACCUCACUGUACAGCUCGGCUCGACCACACUCGAGCCAACCAGGACGGCCAGGAACCUUGGGUGAUUCUCGAUGACGGCUUGACCUUGACGGACCACAUCUCAACAACUGCACGGUCCUGUACAACAUCGAGAAAGUCGGAUCCUACCUCACCAAACAGGCUACGUAGAUACUAGUCCAGGCUCUUGUUAUCUCAAAACUGGACUACUGCAACUCGCUACUCUCGGGCCUCCCGGCCGGCUCCAUCGAACACCUUCAAAAGAUUUCAGGAUGCAGCGGCAUGCCUCGUCUCCAACCAGCUCGAGAGAACCCGUGUCUCGUCUCCCUCCACUGGCUUCCUGUAGCCGCCCGCAUCAAAUUCAAGGCCUUGAUGCUCUCCUACAAGACCUUGUCUGGAUCAGCACCCUCCUACCUCAACUCUCUCUCCUGAAGGCUUGCGUUCCCUCACGCAGUCUGCGAUCGAUCGAUGACCGAUGCUUGGUAGUACCUACACUGCGUGGCUUAAGGUCCCUUUCAAGAACCUUCAAACUAACACUUCCAACCUCAAUCCGGACUGAAGAAUCUCUCAAUCUUCCAAAAACGGCUGAAGACACACCUCUUCUGUGAACACCUAACCAACCCAUUAAAAAAAAAUAAAGAUAAAUGGAUAAAAAAUUUGCUCUGGAACUUGCCCCUCUACCCUGCUUCUUCUAGAACUCAAUUAAUGGAUCUUGUAUGGCAGCUCUGCUUGAUGUAUCGCUUUGCUUGUAUUUUUCUCAUUCGUAAGGCGCUUUGAAUAAAAGCAUCUGCUAAAUGAAUAAAUGUAAAUACUUUUCAGUCACAAGUGUGAGUGAAAUGGUCGCACUGUAGAGCCCUGUGUUUAUCUGCAAAGUUUUUUUUCCAGUUCGCCCACUCUAUCCGAACCUGUCAGAACUGAGCCGUGACCCCUACCGAACUGUGCGCCGGCCGUCCUAGCUCCACCGGUGGCGUUACACACGAGAUGCCAAGUGAAGGGACAACAUUGCUUCCUGAGGGCUUCAGACCAACAAAAUCGGACAGAGAAGGGACAAUGCACGCCGUGAUAAGUGGCCGGAGAAGGCGGCCCUAUGCUAGUUCACAGACCCUGGACGUUGGAGGACAUCGGGAGCAGCCCGACUCCUUUGCCGGCGCUCUGCGAAGUAGGAGGACGAAAGUUUGGGGAUGAACCUCCAGAUAUUCUGCAGAGAUUUCAGACCCACCACCCAUGAACUACGAUGACCACUUCUGGCAAAACUUGGCACGGACUGGGUCGAGGUUUCACGUGAAUUCCCAGAGGAUGAUGUCCGUCCGAUCACAACGCACAGUGGCACGUGGAGUCGACGCAAGGUACAGAGCACGAAUCGCUGCGCUCCAGCAGAGGCUGACGGACACCUUUUCUUGUGCGACUGGACAUGAAGAAAAUAGCAGAGUAAACAAGAAGACUGAGACUGUAUCACAGUACCUGUCCAGUCUCUUUCCGUGACGCAAACUCGGGCUUGGAGAAAGCCGACGCUCUGGCAGAUGGGCAGGCGGCCGUCACAGCCCGUGAGGCACAUCUCAGAAACCGCUUUAUGAAUGGCAUUAAACCAGAAAUUGUCGCUAUAGUCAAACAGCAAUGAUAGUGAUGGGUGAUAACCUGGGACACUGGAAGCCUCGCACAAGUGGAGAGGUACGCGAUCCAUGCGGAGGAGCUUCUACGAGAGGCAAAGGAAAGAAAGAUGGAGACGAAAACCAAAAGGAUGUGGUCAAGGAAGGCCAGGUGGCCACCCCCAUAGACACAACUUCACGUGUCUAUAUGCGGAAAAGUUGUACAUUUUGCAAGAGACUGUCCAGAGCAGAAGCGAACUGAUGGUGGAGUUAAGGGAAGGGUGAGGAACCUGGGAACAGAAGAGGUGACUUCAGACCCCCAAACUAUCAGUUAGCUCACAAAGAACGGGAAUACAUGCACACAUCCAACAUUAGUCAGACUGACAGUUCGGGAUCGUGAUCGAGGACUUCCGCAGGACCAGGUGGAACAAUCCUUUUCGUCACUCACUCCGUGGUAAAGGCCAGCCAGAGAGCCACGUCGAUGCAUGCGAGCCACUGCUGGAGGGCGCUGGAGCCGAGCACUGAGCUGGAGAAGACUGGACUGCGAUAGGAGAACUAGAUGAUGAUGAUGAUGAUGAUGAUGAUGAUUCUCGAUCAAGAGGCCUCUAGGAGGACCUACGAUCAACGAUCUGCAUAUACACACCCACACACAUGACUCACUACACCCCGACACGUCAACACGCCAGUCCCACGCGACUCCACGAUAGACGGUCUCAAGUGGUAUCUAGUAGUCUGCGAAAUCACGGACAUGUAGUUUUUGGAGAAGAUGUUGACGACACGGAAUCUCUACUCUUAGGAGGACUGAACUUCAUUAGCGCUUACUAUAUUGCCACGUGACCAGGACGGCGGUUAGACGAUGUGACUUUGCUUCCGCACCUCUUGCGCCCCAAAGCUCAUUGACCACAGACUAGACACAAAUCGUUAGAUUUCGACCUGUACAUCCACUCGUACGUACAACCCUAUUCCUAAUGGUGCACCCUUCUCCUGGUAUAGGUGGUGUCUGUUAGUAAGCCCUGUCACAGAAAUAAACUCUCAAAUCACUGGGACCGUUCCCGACAACACCGGGGGUCCGGGGGUAGACCCUUAAGCUGAAAAGAUAAACCAAAGUGCGAUAUUGAAGUUUAUUGGGUGGAAGACUUAUUGAUCAAUCGCGUGGUUGCGGCAGAAAGAGUACAUGACACACACACUUUUAGCCAAAUUGGGUAUUUAGCUGGUGGUGACGGGACUAAGUGCCUAAGGUGACGUGAUUUUCUGUAGGUCCCACAUAAGCCCGCAGAGUUCUUUAGUAGACCGUUUCUGCAGAUUGGACGACAAUUAGUAGUUAAAAGCCCGUAUGCCAAGAUAUUGGCCGCCUCUGUAAACCGUUCUGUAUCGCCUUUCGUCAGAAGAAUCAUUGCCAACGGUGCUACUCACGCAGUGUCACCCGUCCCCUCAUCCUGCAGACACAUGACUGGUAUUCUAUCGUUGAACACAUGCGGUCUGCGAUACGCAACCCUCUGCAGACUAGCGAGAUGGUGUUUGUUUGGCUGAAUUUAGUACGGGGGGCUCGUGGAUAUUAACCGUCUGUCUACCAACAGGUGCAAUGAUUCUUCUUGUCUUGCUCAUUUUGCCUUGUAUUGUUUCUAUCAUUCGGAACAGUCUUUUACGUUUGAAGUCACUGAUAAACGCUGAUGUUGACGGACUGAUUACGAUACCCAUGAUGGCCGACCUGACUUGUAUCCAAAACCUGUCUGGGUACUACAUCCUCCCUGCGACACUGACGAUGACAUCCAUUUCUCAUCUAUUGUAAAUAUUCCAUUGACCAUGACUUCUCAUUUCACCCUAAAUAAGCUUGCUUGACAACAGGAUACUUUAUAUCCUAAAAACAGCCUUAGUGCCUUCAUUAUGUCUGCAGGUGAUCUGUGGUUUCGGCGAUGAGCGCGAUGUCCUCAGCAAAACUGAGGUGGUUCAGUAGCUCGCCGUUGAUGGGCGGCGAAUAGGUUCGGAGAGAUGGGGUCUCCUCGCUUAACACCUUUUUGGUCUGGUGCUUUUACGGGUGACGAUAGUAGAGCUAUGUCGGUCAUGCAUCUGGAAUUUGCCUCUUGGAGCAGUUGGAUGUACUACGCCUCGACCCCUUGUCUCUCCAGCGAGUUCAACGCUGCGUUUAUCUCGACCCUGUCGGAGGCCUUCUCGUAGUCUACAAACGCGACACGCAGAGGCAUCCUGUACGCUUUCGCUCGCUCGAGCAAUUGGGUCAGAGUGAAUGUGAUCUAUCGUGCUAUAGUUCUUCCGGAAGCCUGCUUGCGCUCUUGGUUGCUGUUCAUCUAGAUGUGGUGAUGUUUUCACGAUUACCUUCGUGAACAGCUCGUACACAUGAGACGAGGCAUAUGGACCGAUUAGCUUUUCAGAUCUUCUCUAUCACCCUUUUUUGUACAGCAGGAUGGUAUUCGACUCUUUUGUAUUCUGAGGGUAUUUUUCCCUCAUCCAGAUAGUGAGUGAAUCGCUUGGCGAGGAUUUUCCAUAGCUGCUCUCUGCCUGACUUCAGCAUCUCGGAUGUUAUGCCAUCUUUCCCUGGCGCUGUCCCGCUAUUCAUCGAUUUGACUGCUCGUUCAACCUCACUGGCGAGGAUGGGUGGCACUUUUUCUUUCCUUUGAGAUGCCGCCAGCGGCUGCGUAUUCCUGUCUGACUUAAAAAGCUUGGUGUAGAAGUCUUUGCAGAUCUUUUCCACCUCACUUUUAUCGCUGACAGGUAUGCCAGCUGUGUUCUUAAGUGUAGUCACCUCUGAUCUAUAUAUUGCCAUGUUCCCCUCUCAUUUCUUGAGGCUCUUCAUUUCCUCUACGGCCUUUGGGAUUUUCUACCUGGUAUUUCUCAGUGUUUCUUCAGAUGUUGAUGUAUCACUCUGCUAAGAAGGGAAUAUUCAAUUCACUUCAUGUUCAUCCUCUUCUCCAGCAGUUUCUUAGUUUCCUCCGAGAUUCUUCCCUUCUGCUCCCUCGGGCACGCCUCCUCAGCCUUCCUCAAGCACUCCUUCAAUUUCCUUAUCGGUGAGUCGUAGUCCGUAUCCGUUUCGUCAACUUGAUGCCAGGUUUCCUGCAGCCGCGUCUCGUCGUAGACCUUCACGCGUUCUUCGGGGCCAAAUGCAAUGUCGUCUUCUCCCUCGUCCAGUCGAUGACUGACUGUCUUUGCCCUCAGUAGGCGGUGAUCGCUGCCGUCGUGAAAUGCCGCUAUGAUGGAGACGUGCUGCGAGAUGCGCCGCUUGUCGACCAGGAUAUACUCUCUCAUUGCGAUGCUCAGCGAUGUCCAGGUCUCCCGUCACGACGGUGUAUGUGGAUUUCACAGCUAUCAUUUUGUCUAGCUGGCGAUAGAAUUCCUCCACUCCGUCGUCGUCGCUGGCACUCGUGGGAACGUAGGUCUGGACGAUCUUGAGGGUGGCUUUCCCAUGGAGAUUCACGUUCAAUACCCCGAUCUGUGUUGAAACAAACUGGCGAGAGGCGAACUUUGAAUCUCAUUCCUUGCUUACGAUGAACCCGAUACCUCCAACUGAUCUGACAGUCCGCUUUUACCGCGAACUCUCUCUUCCUUCCUCUGACGGGUCUCGCUCAACCCUUGUGCGUCGCAUGUGAUCAUGCAUCUGAUCGUCAUCAUCGUCGUCGUCCUCCUCCAUCAGGUGGUUCAAACGGUUCCUCCCUGCCAAAGACCUGUAGUUGUAGGUACAUAUGGCAAGGUUAAUCCUGUUCCUUUGCAGCCUUCUGGGACCUGAGAUUCUUGGCAGCCUCUCGUCGCUCGAGUUGCAUCCAGCCGCCUUGGAAUGGCCCGAUUGACGCGCAGGGUACCGAGGCCUGUUUCUUCGUGCCGUUUUAGCCUUUGAAUGUCGCCAUCCCGCUGGCUGGGCGGGCAGGCCGAUACCUCUAGAAAAUGCGUAAUUUCUAGGAUAAAAUAGUCUGACCCCUUUUGUAGCAUGGUAAAACCUGCCAGGGCAUUUAGCCCUGCUACCAUAGCUGGGCUAUGACAGCCAUCGUUGCCACUUUGCAGCACUGAAGUAGGAUUCUGCAGUGGGAAUACUAUCCUGUAUUAACCAUGUCUUUUUGUAAUUAAACAACACAAAUAUAUAUAUAUAUUUUUUUGGCUAAUUUCCAUGACAAGAUUUUAAGAGACGUUUGUGUCGCACAUCAUAAAAGAUAAUCUUGGCAUCUGUUCAUUUUAAUUGUAGGAGAAAACUGCUUAAUUUUGAGCUUUUGUGGGGACAGGGCGAUGUUCUAUAGAUGUGUCCUAUAAUUAUUCAUGAGACCGCAUGUUCUUAUCCUAUGAGAAGAUGCAGUCUCUGAAUUAUUCAUGCUUUAGUAGAUGAGAGAGGUGUCCAAAUGGGUCGUGUGUGUGUCAGUGGUGUAAGAGUUCCAGUGUGUUGUUUCAGGAAAGCUAUGAGAAUUGGAGAAAGGUGGACUUCGGACUUGCUCGUGAAAGCAGUUUGCGACUAUACGAUGAUGUGGUACUGAAUCCCGAGGACACUUUCAUCCCUUCAAAUGAGGAUUCAGGAGGAGAGAAGUCUUGUGCCUCAUCAGAGCCCUGCGUAUUGCUGCCACUGCGAACUUUGUCACUAUCCGCCUUUCAUUAGGACGUUUUUCUGCUUUGAAAAGGAUCAAGGCUUUCCAACUCAAUGCUACCGGACAACGGCGUUCGGGUGGCCUUGCUCUGAUGUCCGUUGAAAAGCGGACGCUGUGCCAACCGAAGAAGUCAGACAGCUUAUACGACAAGGUUCUAGACGAGUUCACGUAGAAGGAUCGGAGAAUGAAUUUCAUUUACAAGUAAGCAGCACUAGAAGUGUUCUUUGAGAGCUUUGGGAUGGAGAUGCAGGAGAUCGACUAGUUACCUCUAUGGAAGCUCAAUGCCCUCACGAAGAAAGCCAGACACUUCUACCCAUUUGAAACACCAUACACUUGUGAAACAUAGCCAUGUAUUUGCUUGUAAUCUCUGUUUCCAUUUUCUUGUGACCUUUUUGUAUGUGCAAACGGGAAGGAAUCGGAAGUGAUUUCAUUCAUCUUCUAUUUUAUUGUGUAGUGCAAAAUAAUUUGUAUGUUACCAUCGUUUUAAAGAAAAGGUGUUGUUUUGGCAGUGUAUUGUAUUUUACUAAUCCCUUGAUUUACUGUAUGUCUUUCUUUUGGGCUCAUUUGUUUCUUUUUCUGCUCACUUCUUUGCUAAACCCCACUUACCUCUUUCUCUAAGCUGGGUAACUUCCUCUUGUGUAACACUAAGUAAGUCUAAGUCCUGUCUGUGUUAGUUGUUGUGAUUAACGUAAUGAGCUUUCAUGUACACUUGUAUACUGGUGGGUCUUUGUCUUUAUGUUUGCUUCCUCAGAGUUGUUAACCUGAAAGCGCUCACUCAUUUGCCCCUGCACAUUCAGCAGGAUCUGGAAGCUUUAACUUUGUUCCCUUUGCCAUUUUCAGAUGUCACCUCUUUGAUGUGUCUUUUGUUCUAUAUGUAAAUUAAUUUUGAUGCUGAAAGGAUGUUGUACCUCAUAUGGUAUGGAUAAGCCUGUAGGUGCCAAGGCACAGAGCAUUGGGUCAUUUCCUGUCUCCUUUUUAAAAAAAAAAAAAAAAAAAAAACCACACCCUUGGAUAUUGUAAAGAUAACUCAAUAAUUGUUGAUUGUUGUUGCUUCUGCUGUGCAAAUUUGUGAUAUUAUUGUAAAGACUCUCGUGUUCGCACUGAGACUCUGAGCCCAGGGGCCCCGACUAGCCGUAAGAGAACUCUGACGGAAUUGAACAAAGCAGCCACUGGUUAGGGGUGAAAACAAAGGAUGCCCAGAAUGAGCAGGGGGUAGUCUGUUUUCUGGCAUGCUGAAAGCACCCCAUCUGCAUCUAUGUCGGGUUGAAUCAAGGAAUGUAAUAUGGGAGGUGCCCACCUGAUGAGCCCUGGGAAGUGUCUGCCACCCAUAAAACCUUUCAUCAUCUCAUGUUGGGUGUUGUGUUUUCUUUGUGUGUCAUUCUUGGUGUGUCUUACGCAGGGGUCGACUUUACCGUUAGACAAAGUUCAGCAAUAGUCUCUGUCCCCGAGCUAACAUGGGCCACCAACACGC
This is a long non-coding RNA of Ictalurus punctatus (channel catfish), 8773 nucleotides long. Lineage: Eukaryota; Metazoa; Chordata; Actinopteri; Siluriformes; Ictaluridae. The record is from Ensembl.